Homo sapiens (human) is the source of this 831-nucleotide long non-coding RNA. Ensembl annotates it as long intergenic non-protein coding RNA 1572. Lineage: Eukaryota; Metazoa; Chordata; Mammalia; Primates; Hominidae. The record is from Ensembl.
ACUCUGGGAGACGUUUGAGACCCAGCGUCUCUAGAUCUCGUAUUUGAAUUUGUGGCGCUUGGUGUCCGCGAGUUGCCGAAUGAAGCUGAGCGUCUCAGUGGAACCAGGGAUCUCAGGGAGGGGAAGGUAUAAAAUUUUCAAAUGGAGGAGUAUACCUGAACCUAAUCAUGGAUGUGAUUUUAUGUAAGUAAUAUGUGAGAUACAGAUAAGCUGAUUCUAAAACUUACAAGAAUGGCAAAGAAACAAGAAGAGCUUAAACUGUGAAGACUGAAGCCUUAGGCUAUGGCAGAAGUUGGGCGCCUGAAGUACACGUGGAAAUAUGCCAACUGAACAUUGGACUACCACGUCAAGGGUCUCCUACCCCUGGGCCAUGGAUCAAUACCAGUCUGUGACCUGUUAGGAACCGGUAGCAGGAGGUGAGUAGCAGCCUAGCGAGCACUACUGCCUAAGCUCCACCUCCUGUCAGAUCAGUAGUGACAUGAGAUUUUCAUAGGAGCAGAAACCCUAUUGUGAACUCCAAACACAAGGGAUCUAGGUUAUGCACUACUUAUGAGAAUCUAAUGCCUGAUGAUCUGAGGUGGAACAGUUUCAUCCUGAAACCACCGCCCCCAUGUGUGGAAAAAUUGUCUUCCACAAAACUGGUCCCUGGUACCAAAAAGGUCAGGGACCACUGCUGUAGGUAAACCUGCACUGGUACAAAAUGACAGAAAUAUACACAGUCAUUUAUUAUAGCAUUGUUAUAUUGUUAUAUUGUUAUUAUAGCAUUGUUGCAUGAAUACAGGAUUGGAAAUAAAUCAAGGAUCUAGUAAUAAGGGACUGGUUGAAUAAACC